UGUUUACUGCCAUGUUAGCAAUUUGAUG
RNAcentral lists this non-coding RNA (28 nucleotides) under Homo sapiens (human). Lineage: Eukaryota; Metazoa; Chordata; Mammalia; Primates; Hominidae. The record is from RNAcentral.